This 468-nucleotide ribosomal RNA is filed under the name uncultured bacterium. RNAcentral describes it as "partial 16S ribosomal RNA". It matches the Rfam family "Bacterial small subunit ribosomal RNA", at positions 28 to 507 of the family's 1533-position model. The record is from RNAcentral.
GACGAACGCUGGCGGCGUGCUUAACACAUGCAAGUCGAACGGAAAGGCCCUGCUUUCGUGGGGUGCUCGAGUGGCGAACGGGUGAGUAACACGUGAGUAACCUGCCCUUGACUUUGGGAUAACUUCAGGAAACUGGGGCUAAUACCGGAUAGGAUCUCCUGCUGCAUGGUGGGGGUUGGAAAGUUUCGGCGGUUGGGGAUGGACUGGCGGCUUAUCAGCUUGUUGGUGGGGUAGUGGCUUACCAAGGCUUUGACGGGUAGCCCGCCUGAGAGGGUGACCGGCCACAUUGGGACUGAGAGACGGCGCAGGCUCCUACGGGAGGCAGCGGUGGGAAAUAUUGCACAGUGGGCGGAAGCCUGAUGAAGAGACGCCGCGGGCGGGAUGACGGCCUUCGGGUUGUAAACCGCUUUCGCCUGUGACGAAGCGUGAGUGACGGUAAUGGGUAAAGAAGCACCGGCUAACUACGUG